Molecule: ribosomal RNA, 300 nt
Filed under: Triticum aestivum (bread wheat)
Lineage: Eukaryota; Viridiplantae; Streptophyta; Magnoliopsida; Poales; Poaceae
Description: partial small subunit ribosomal RNA
Source: RNAcentral
AUGUCAUUUAGCACAGCGGGUUACUUGGAUAAGAUUAAGGGAAGUUCCAAGCGUGGAGAUUACAGAAGGUGUUGGGUGAUCAAAGGCACCUUGGUGCGUGCAGGGUUGGGGAUUGGGCACGUGGAUUCCGGGGCGGUGAUCCUAGAUGGCGGGCUGCGCAUUUGGCUCUCCGGCGAGCAGUGUUGCAGUGGUGUUGACGAUGCGUCUUGGUCAUGUGGAUGGCGAGGGAUUAGGUGUAGUGUUGACAACUUGAUGUCCCAGGUGCCAUCCUCCACACCUUCUGCAUAUAGAGUCGAGUAG